RNAcentral lists this ribosomal RNA (1438 nucleotides) under Chrysobothris affinis. RNAcentral describes it as "SSU rRNA". It matches the Rfam family "Eukaryotic small subunit ribosomal RNA", at positions 420 to 1774 of the family's 1831-position model. Lineage: Eukaryota; Metazoa; Arthropoda; Insecta; Coleoptera; Buprestidae. The record is from RNAcentral.
GGAAGGCAGCAGGCGCGCAAAUUACCCACUCCCGGCACGGGGAGGUAGUGACGAAUAAUAACGAUACGGGACUCAUCCGAGGCCCCGUAAUCGGAAUGAGUACAAUCUAAACCCUUUAACGAGGAUCAAUUGGAGGGCAAGUCUGGUGCCAGCAGCCGCGGUAAUUCCAGCUCCAAUAGCGUAUAUUAAAGUUGUUGCGGUUAAAAAGCUCGUAGUCGAAUCUGUGUCCCGCGCCGCCGGUUCAUCGCACGCGGUGUUUAACUGGCGUGUCCGCGGGACGUCCUGCCGGUGGGCUUUACCGCCCGCGAGGGUGGCGGCCCAACUCAAUCCCACCGCGGUGCUCUUCACUGAGUGUCGAGGUGGGCCGGCACGUUUACUUUGAACAAAUUAGAGUGCUUAAAGCAGGCUAAAACUUCGCCUGAAUACCGUGUGCAUGGAAUAAUGGAAUAGGACCUCGGUUCUAUUUUGUUGGUUUUCGGAACCCCGAGGUAAUGAUUAAUAGGAACGGAUGGGGGCAUUCGUAUUGCGACGUUAGAGGUGAAAUUCUUGGAUCGUCGCAAGACGAACAGAAGCGAAAGCAUUUGCCAAAAACGUUUUCAUUGAUCAAGAACGAAAGUUAGAGGUUCGAAGGCGAUCAGAUACCGCCCUAGUUCUAACCAUAAACGAUGCCAGCUAGCGAUCCGCCGACGUUCCUUCGAUGACUCGGCGGGCAGCUUCCGGGAAACCAAAGCUUUUGGGUUCCGGGGGAAGUAUGGUUGCAAAGCUGAAACUUAAAGGAAUUGACGGAAGGGCACCACCAGGAGUGGAGCCUGCGGCUUAAUUUGACUCAACACGGGAAACCUCACCAGGCCCGGACACCGGAAGGAUUGACAGAUUGAGAGCUCUUUCUUGAUUCGGUGGGUGGUGGUGCAUGGCCGUUCUUAGUUGGUGGAGCGAUUUGUCUGGUUAAUUCCGAUAACGAACGAGACUCUAGCCUGCUAAAUAGGCGUAUUUCCGACAUCUCAAAGGCCCGCCGGUCCGGCGCUCGCGUCGCGUCCGUGCGCGGUUUUUACUGUCGGCGUACACACAAUUCUUCUUAGAGGGACAGGCGGCUUCUAGCCGCACGAGAUUGAGCAAUAACAGGUCUGUGAUGCCCUUAGAUGUUCUGGGCCGCACGCGCGCUACACUGAAGGAAUCAGCGUGUCCUCCCUGGCCGAGAGGCCCGGGUAACCCGCUGAACCUCCUUCGUGCUAGGGAUUGGGGCUUGCAAUUAUUCCCCAUGAACGAGGAAUUCCCAGUAAGCGCGAGUCAUAAGCUCGCGUUGAUUACGUCCCUGCCCUUUGUACACACCGCCCGUCGCUACUACCGAUUGAAUGAUUUAGUGAGGUCUUCGGACCGGUACGCGGCGGCGUUUCCGCGUCGCCGAUGUUGCUGGGAAGAUGACCAAACUUGAUCAUUU